Molecule: long non-coding RNA, 1080 nt
Filed under: Cyanistes caeruleus (blue tit)
Lineage: Eukaryota; Metazoa; Chordata; Aves; Passeriformes; Paridae
Description: lncRNA (ENSCCEG00000015663.1)
Source: RNAcentral
AUGCCUCACUGCUGCUCUGUGACGUCCCAAAAGUUUUCAAGACUCUUCUGUUGUGAUUUUCAGUUCUUUGCUCCAGCAGGAUUUGCAUCAGUCAAAGAGCAGCCAAGGUCCCCCCAUCCUGACCAUCCCCACGAAAUCUGCCUUUUACAAAUCUGCCUUUCAGCUGGAAAAUACCUGCUCUGGGGAGGCUUCCCUGCCUUGUCCUCCAUUCUCUGCAUCCAUUCCAGAAGUGCCCUGAUCCAGGCAGGAGGGCUCAGCACCGGUGCUCAGCACCCUGAGCCAGGCAGGAAUGCCCAGGAAGGCUGGAAGUGUCUGCAGGAUGGGAUGAGCUGGAUGCAGACCUUGGCCCUCAGCACCAACCACAGAUCCCGAGAACAGACAGAUGAGGAGAAUCAUCCUCGCAAGGAGGAAUUAGUAAUGAGCCCGCUCAGACCUGGCGUUUGCUCUGUCGCCGCUCCCAGUUCCCACGGCCUGCAGGCAAACACCAAAUCCCUGGAGAUGCUGCACAGGCCGGGAUCAGUGGCUGGUUACCGGGACGUGCAGCCACACAGCACAGCCCUGAGCACAGCACAGUCAAUUAUUCAGCCAAAAGCAGUCCAGCCACUCGCAUCAACCCCUUUCUGUGCCGUGAAAACAGGGGGUUGGGGUCUCCCAGGGACUGAAGGUCGUGGCAUUGCUCAGGUCCCAGAAAAAACCCCUGCAGCUGGAGCAGGGAGCGGUGCUUUGUUCCCCCACAGCUCUGCAGAGGCAGUGGCAGCACCACAGAGCCCACUCCUGGUGGUGUCUGUGGCCUUGGGCCAGCAGGACCCCCCCUGCACCUGCCCUGCUUUGGGCACCUCCCAGGGACCAGAAUCCAUGAACUGGGUGGCACAAGGAGCAGGAGAGUGGCACUAACUGUGGCUGUGCCUCACAGGGGAGGUGACAGCCCCCUCCCAGCCCACCCUGCUCCUCCCUGGUGCUCCAGGCUUGGCUUCCUCCGCAGAGGCUGCUUGCUCUCUUUGUGGGGGGAAAAGGGGAUUUGUACUAAAGCUCUUUGCAUGAAAAAAUAAAAUCCAUCCUGUGCUGCUUUGCUCUGCCCCG